GAUGAACGCUGGCGGCGUGCCUAAUACAUGCAAGUCGAGCGAACGGACGAGAAGCUUGCUUCUCUGAUGUUAGCGGCGGACGGGUGAGUAACACGUGGAUAACCUACCUAUAAGACUGGGAUAACUUCGGGAAACCGGAGCUAAUACCGGAUAAUAUUUUGAACCGCAUGGUUCAAAAGUGAAAGACGGUCUUGCUGUCACUUAUAGAUGGAUUCGCGCUGCAUUAGCUAGUUGGUAAGGUAACGGCUUACCAAGGCAACGAUGCAUAGCCGACCUGAGAGGGUGAUCGGCCACACUGGAACUGAGACACGGUCCAGACUCCUACGGGAGGCAGCAGUAGGGAAUCUUCCGCAAUGGGCGAAAGCCUGACGGAGCAACGCCGCGUGAGUGAUGAAGGUCUUCGGAUCGUAAAACUCUGUUAUUAGGGAAGAACAUAUGUGUAAGUAACUGUGCACAUCUUGACGGUACCUAAUCAGAAAGCCACGGCUAACUACGUGCCAGCAGCCGCGGUAAUACGUAGGUGGCAAGCGUUAUCCGGAAUUAUUGGGCGUAAAGCGCGCGUAGGCGGUUUUUUAAGUCUGAUGUGAAAGCCCACGGCUCAACCGUGGAGGGUCAUUGGAAACUGGAAAACUUGAGUGCAGAAGAGGAAAGUGGAAUUCCAUGUGUAGCGGUGAAAUGCGCAGAGAUAUGGAGGAACACCAGUGGCGAAGGCGACUUUCUGGUCUGUAACUGACGCUGAUGUGCGAAAGCGUGGGGAUCAAACAGG
Molecule: ribosomal RNA, 766 nt
Filed under: Staphylococcus aureus
Lineage: Bacteria; Bacillati; Bacillota; Bacilli; Caryophanales; Staphylococcaceae
Description: bacterial SSU rRNA
Rfam family: Bacterial small subunit ribosomal RNA
Source: RNAcentral